RNAcentral lists this long non-coding RNA (469 nucleotides) under Rattus norvegicus (Norway rat). RNAcentral describes it as "long non-coding RNA NONRATT000753". The record is from RNAcentral. Lineage: Eukaryota; Metazoa; Chordata; Mammalia; Rodentia; Muridae.
GGGUAAGAAAACUAAUCUGUUAUAGUUAGUGAGGCCACUUACCUGGUCCUUACCUUUCCCUGGAAACCUAUCUUCCUGAUCUAUAGACACAGUGGUGGGUAGAAGGAAUCCCCUACAAGAUACUACUUUACUACCUCAGGCAUCUAUCAAGUUGAAGACCAGGCUUUUAAUUAUGUAUUCCUGACAGUCGCUCAAUAACCUCCCAUUUUGGAAAGAGACUUGUGCUACCUAGAGCAAUCUUGUAAUACUCUAGGGGCUCUAGACCCCAGCCUCCAAAAGACCCCCAAGAAAGUAACCCACAAAAUGAAUCUGACUGUUUGGGGUACAAGAACCCCUGGAUAAGCUAAAACAUCUUGCUCCAGUAAAAAUCUAUUCAAAACCUGGGAUAAGUUAUCUAAUGAAGACAGGCCCAUUAAAGAGGAAAGUUGAAUUAGAAAUACAAUGUAUUAUUAAAACUUUUCUACAAUAU